This 446-nucleotide ribosomal RNA is filed under the name uncultured prokaryote. RNAcentral's name for it is "bacterial SSU rRNA". It matches the Rfam family "Bacterial small subunit ribosomal RNA", at positions 355 to 796 of the family's 1533-position model. The record is from RNAcentral.
UCGAGAAUCUUCCGCAAUGGGCGCAAGCCUGACGGAGCGACGCCGCGUGCGGGAUUAAGGCCUUCGGGUUGUAAACCGCUGUCAGAGAGGCGGAAAUGCGUAGUGGCUAUCCAUUACGUUUGACCUAAUCUCAGAGGAAGUGCAGGCUAAGUUCGUGCCAGCAGCCGCGGUAAUACGAACUGCACAAACGUUAUUCGGAAUCACUGGGCUUAAAGAGUCCGUAGGCGGUCUAGAAGGUGAGGUGUGAAAUCCCACAGCCCAACUGUGGAACUGCGCUUCAAACCGCUAGGCUUGAGGGAGACAGGGGUGAGCGGAACAGAUGGUGGAGCGGUGAAAUGCGUUGAUAUCAUCUGGAACACCGGUGGCGAAGGCGGCUCACUGGGUCUCUUCUGACGCUGAGGGACGAAAGCUAGGGGAGCGAACGGGAUUAGAUACCCGCGUAGUCC